RNAcentral lists this ribosomal RNA (497 nucleotides) under uncultured bacterium. Its description in RNAcentral is "partial 16S ribosomal RNA". It matches the Rfam family "Bacterial small subunit ribosomal RNA", at positions 28 to 507 of the family's 1533-position model. The record is from RNAcentral.
GAUGAACGCUGGCGGCGUGCCUAAUACAUGCAAGUCGAGCGAACAGACGAGGAGCUUGCUCCUCUGACGUUAGCGGCGGACGGGUGAGUAAAACGUGGAUAACCUACCUAUAAGACUGGGAUAACUUCGGGAAACCGGAGCUAAUACCGGAUAAUAUAUUGAACCGCAUGGUUCAAUAGUGAAAGACGGUUUUGCUGUCACUUAUAGAUGGAUCCGCGCCGCAUUAGCUAGUUGGUAAGGUAACGGCUUACCAAGGCAACGAUGCGUAGCCGACCGGAGAGAGUGAUCGGCCACACUGGAACUGAAACACGGUCCAGACUCCUACGGGAGGCAGCAGUAGGGAAUCUUCCGCAAUGGGCGAAAGCUUGACGGAGCAACGCCGCGUGAGUGAUGAAGGUCUUCGGAUCGUAAAACUCUGUUAUUAGGGAAGAACAAAUGUGUAAGUAACUAUGCACGUCUUGACGGUACCUAAUCAGAAAGCCACGGCUAACUACGUG